RNAcentral lists this ribosomal RNA (1538 nucleotides) under Staphylococcus aureus. RNAcentral describes it as "16S ribosomal RNA". It matches the Rfam family "Bacterial small subunit ribosomal RNA". The record is from RNAcentral. Lineage: Bacteria; Bacillati; Bacillota; Bacilli; Caryophanales; Staphylococcaceae.
GAGUUUGAUCCUGGCUCAGGAUGAACGCUGGCGGCGUGCCUAAUACAUGCAAGUCGAGCGAACGGACGAGAAGCUUGCUUCUCUGAUGUUAGCGGCGGACGGGUGAGUAACACGUGGAUAACCUACCUAUAAGACUGGGAUAACUUCGGGAAACCGGAGCUAAUACCGGAUAAUAUUUUGAACCGCAUGGUUCAAAAGUGAAAGACGGUCUUGCUGUCACUUAUAGAUGGAUCCGCGCUGCAUUAGCUAGUUGGUAAGGUAACGGCUUACCAAGGCAACGAUGCAUAGCCGACCUGAGAGGGUGAUCGGCCACACUGGAACUGAGACACGGUCCAGACUCCUACGGGAGGCAGCAGUAGGGAAUCUUCCGCAAUGGGCGAAAGCCUGACGGAGCAACGCCGCGUGAGUGAUGAAGGUCUUCGGAUCGUAAAACUCUGUUAUUAGGGAAGAACAUAUGUGUAAGUAACUGUGCACAUCUUGACGGUACCCAAUCAGAAAGCCACGGCUAACUACGUGCCAGCAGCCGCGGUAAUACGUAGGUGGCAAGCGUUAUCCGGAAUUAUUGGGCGUAAAGCGCGCGUAGGCGGUUUUUUAAGUCUGAUGUGAAAGCCCACGGCUCAACCGUGGAGGGUCAUUGGAAACUGGAAAACUUGAGUGCAGAAGAGGAAAGUGGAAUUCCAUGUGUAGCGGUGAAAUGCGCAGAGAUAUGGAGGAACACCAGUGGCGAAGGCGACUUUCUGGUCUGUAACUGACGCUGAUGUGCGAAAGCGUGGGGAUCAAACAGGAUUAGAUACCCUGGUAGUCCACGCCGUAAACGAUGAGUGCUAAGUGUUAGGGGGUUUCCGCCCCUUAGUGCUGCAGCUAACGCAUUAAGCACUCCGCCUGGGGAGUACGACCGCAAGGUUGAAACUCAAAGGAAUUGACGGGGACCCGCACAAGCGGUGGAGCAUGUGGUUUAAUUCGAAGCAACGCGAAGAACCUUACCAAAUCUUGACAUCCUUUGACAACUCUAGAGAUAGAGCCUUCCCCUUCGGGGGACAAAGUGACAGGUGGUGCAUGGUUGUCGUCAGCUCGUGUCGUGAGAUGUUGGGUUAAGUCCCGCAACGAGCGCAACCCUUAAGCUUAGUUGCCAUCAUUAAGUUGGGCACUCUAAGUUGACUGCCGGUGACAAACCGGAGGAAGGUGGGGAUGACGUCAAAUCAUCAUGCCCCUUAUGAUUUGGGCUACACACGUGCUACAAUGGACAAUACAAAGGGCAGCGAAACCGCGAGGUCAAGCAAAUCCCAUAAAGUUGUUCUCAGUUCGGAUUGUAGUCUGCAACUCGACUACAUGAAGCUGGAAUCGCUAGUAAUCGUAGAUCAGCAUGCUACGGUGAAUACGUUCCCGGGUCUUGUACACACCGCCCGUCACACCACGAGAGUUUGUAACACCCGAAGCCGGUGGAGUAACCUUUUAGGAGCUAGCCGUCGAAGGUGGGACAAAUGAUUGGGGUGAAGUCGUAACAAGGUAGCCGUAUCGGAAGGUGCGGCUGGAUCACC